UUUUAUUUGAGAGUUUGAUCCUGGCUCAGGAUGAACGCUGGCGGCGUGCCUAACACAUGCAAGUUGAGCGAUUUACUUCGGUAAAGAGCGGCGGACGGGUGAGUAACGCGUGGGUAACCUACCCUGUACACACGGAUAACAUACCGAAAGGUAUGCUAAUACGGGAUAAUAUAUUUGAGAGGCAUCUCUUAAAUAUCAAAGGUGAGCCAGUACAGGAUGGACCCGCGUCUGAUUAGCUAGUUGGUAAGGUAACGGCUUACCAAGGCGACGAUCAGUAGCCGACCUGAGAGGGUGAUCGGCCACAUUGGAACUGAGACACGGUCCAAACUCCUACGGGAGGCAGCAGUGGGGAAUAUUGCACAAUGGGCGAAAGCCUGAUGCAGCAACGCCGCGUGAGUGAUGAAGGCCUUCGGGUCGUAAAACUCUGUCCUCAAGGAAGAUAA
This 443-nucleotide ribosomal RNA is filed under the name Clostridioides difficile. RNAcentral describes it as "bacterial SSU rRNA". It matches the Rfam family "Bacterial small subunit ribosomal RNA", at positions 1 to 451 of the family's 1533-position model. The record is from RNAcentral. Lineage: Bacteria; Bacillati; Bacillota; Clostridia; Peptostreptococcales; Peptostreptococcaceae.